AACGAACGCUGGCGGCGCGCCUAAUACAUGCAAGUCGAGCGAGAAGACGUAGCAAUACGUUUGUAAAGCGGCGAACGGGUGAGGAAUGCAUGGGUAACCUACCCUCGAGUGGGGAAUAACUAGCCGAAAGGUUAGCUAAUACCGCGUACGCUCCUUGGACUUCGGUUCAGGGAGGAAAGCGAUACCGUGGGUAUCGCGCUCUUGGAUGGGCUCAUGUCCUAUCAGCUUGUUGGUGAGGUAACGGCUCACCAAGGCUUCGACGGGUAGCUGGUCUGAGAGGACGAUCAGCCACACUGGCACUGCGACACGGGCCAGACUCCUACGGAGGCAGCAGUAAGGAAUAUUGCGCAAUGGGCGAAAGCCUGACGCAGCGACGCCGCGUGGGGGAUGAAGGUCUUCGGAUUGUAAGCCCCUUUCGGGAGGGAAGAUGGAACGAGCAAUCGUUCGGACGGUACCUCCAGAAGCAGCCACGGCUAACUUCGUG
RNAcentral lists this ribosomal RNA (484 nucleotides) under uncultured bacterium. Its description in RNAcentral is "bacterial SSU rRNA". It matches the Rfam family "Bacterial small subunit ribosomal RNA", at positions 29 to 507 of the family's 1533-position model. The record is from RNAcentral.